GUUGGGUGUGGUGGAGCACACCUGUAAUCCUAGCAACUCAGGAGCCUGAGGCAGGAGGAUCUGGCAAAGCCAGCCUCAG
RNAcentral lists this small RNA (79 nucleotides) under Marmota monax (woodchuck). The record is from RNAcentral. Lineage: Eukaryota; Metazoa; Chordata; Mammalia; Rodentia; Sciuridae.